CUGCCUCCCGCCGAGCUCCUAACCCUGGAGCGCGUGUCCAGUUUGACACCGUGCUCAGGCUCUGCUCGCCGUCGCCUAUGGCUGACUCCUCUGCCUCCGAUCCGUGGCGCCAUCGUGGGCUCGCCCCAGCCCUAUAGCUGUCGGUUGUCCUCGCCCUGCCCCAUUGCACGCUGGUACCCUCUCCUGCAGCUCACCACAUCAGCCGCGGCCGUUGCUCCUCCACCAAGCCUCGCCGGGGUGCUCUUCUUGGCGCGCCUCUGCUCCUCUGCUCGCCGUGAAGCUCUAUCUUCGCCAGCUCGCUCCAGACUCGACCUCAUCAUCGUUCCUCAGCUUCACACCGACUUCCAGCUCGUCGGUCGAGCUCCUCCCUCGCGCUCAGAUCCAGUCGUUGACGCCCAGCCACGUGUUCUUCCUCCCAGCUCGUGGGUGCCGUCGUUCCGUGUGCUUGGCCAUCAAAGUUCGCCGGCCAUCACGACAUCCCCAGUCUGUCGUCGAUCCACGGUUGUCUUUGUUUCUCUGUCGACCGUCCGCUUCCUUCGGACAGCGCGCUUGUCCCCCACGCAGCGUCGUCUUCAACCUUCAGCUCUUCUUCCUCAAACGGUGUUCCAGCAGCUCGCUCCCAUGGCGCUUAUGUCAACUCCUGCGCGCCCAUGUCCUUUACUCGGCUAG
This 669-nucleotide unclassified non-coding RNA is filed under the name Zea mays. Its description in RNAcentral is "misc RNA Zm00001eb029760". The record is from RNAcentral. Lineage: Eukaryota; Viridiplantae; Streptophyta; Magnoliopsida; Poales; Poaceae.